UUGAACGCUGGCGGCAUGCCUUACACAUGCAAGUCGAACGGUAACAGGUCUUCGGAUGCUGACGAGUGGCGAACGGGUGAGUAAUACAUCGGAACGUGCCCGAUCGUGGGGGAUAACGAGGCGAAAGCUUUGCUAAUACCGCAUACGAUCUACGGAUGAAAGCGGGGGAUCUUCGGACCUCGCGCGGACGGAGCGGCCGAUGGCAGAUUAGGUAGUUGGUGGGAUAAAAGCUUACCAAGCCGACGAUCUGUAGCUGGUCUGAGAGGAUGAUCAGCCACACUGGGACUGAGACACGGCCCAGACUCCUACGGGAGGCAGCAGUGGGGAAUUUUGGACAAUGGGCGAAAGCCUGAUCCAGCCAUGCCGCGUGCAGGAUGAAGGCCUUUGGGUUGUAAACUGCUUUUGUACGGAACGAAAAGCCUCUUUCUAAUAAAGAGGGGUCAUGACGGUACCGUAAGAAUAAGCACCGGCUAACUACGUG
RNAcentral lists this ribosomal RNA (481 nucleotides) under uncultured bacterium. Its description in RNAcentral is "partial 16S ribosomal RNA". It matches the Rfam family "Bacterial small subunit ribosomal RNA", at positions 30 to 507 of the family's 1533-position model. The record is from RNAcentral.